This 254-nucleotide ribosomal RNA is filed under the name uncultured bacterium. Its description in RNAcentral is "partial 16S ribosomal RNA". It matches the Rfam family "Bacterial small subunit ribosomal RNA", at positions 524 to 776 of the family's 1533-position model. The record is from RNAcentral.
GACGAACCGUGCGAACGUUAUUCGGAAUCACUGGGCUUAAAGCGCGUGUAGGCGGGCCGGCACGUCCGUGGCUGAAAUCCCCCGGCUCAACCGGGGAAGGGGCCCGGAUACGACCGGCCUGGAGGGGGGUAGGGGGCGCCGGAACUUCCGGUGGAGCGGUGAAAUGCGUUGAGAUCGGAAGGAACGCCCGUGGCGAAAGCGGGCGCCUGGACCCCGCCUGACGCUGAGACGCGAAAGCCAGGGGAGCGAACGGG